RNAcentral lists this ribosomal RNA (253 nucleotides) under uncultured bacterium. RNAcentral's name for it is "partial 16S ribosomal RNA". It matches the Rfam family "Bacterial small subunit ribosomal RNA", at positions 524 to 776 of the family's 1533-position model. The record is from RNAcentral.
GACGAACCGUGCGAACGUUGUUCGGAAUCACUGGGCUUAAAGGGCGCGUAGGCGGGCAAUCAAGUCAGGGGUGAAAUCCUCCGGCUCAACCGGAGAACUGCCUUUGAUACUGGUCGUCUCGAGUGAGGUAGGGGCAUGCGGAACUGAUGGUGGAGCGGUGAAAUGUGUUGAUAUCAUCAGGAACUCCGGUGGCGAAAGCGGCGUGCUGGACCUCAACUGACGCUGAUGCGCGAAAGCUAGGGGAGCAAACAGG